UACGAAGGGGGCUAGCGUUGCUCGGAAUCACUGGGCGUAAAGCGCACGUAGGCGGAUUGCUAAGUCAGGGGUGAAAUCCUGGAGCUCAACUCCAGAACUGCCCUUGAUACUGGCGGUCUCGAGUCCGGGAGAGGUGAGUGGAACUGCGAGUGUAGAGGUGAAAUUCGUAGAUAUUCGCAAGAACGCCAGUGGCGAAGGCGGCUCACUGGCCCGGUACUGACGCUGAGGUGCGAAAGCGUGGGGAGCAAACAGG
This 253-nucleotide ribosomal RNA is filed under the name uncultured bacterium. RNAcentral's name for it is "partial 16S ribosomal RNA". It matches the Rfam family "Bacterial small subunit ribosomal RNA", at positions 524 to 776 of the family's 1533-position model. The record is from RNAcentral.